AGCGAACGCUGGCGGCAGGCCUAACACAUGCAAGUCGAACGAACCUUUCGGGGUUAGUGGCGGACGGGUGAGUAACACGUGGGAACGUGCCUUUAGGUUCGGAAUAACUCAGGGAAACUUGUGCUAAUACCGAAUGUGCCCUUCGGGGGAAAGAUUAAUCGCCUUUAGAGCGGCCCGCGUCUGAUUAGCUAGUUGGUUGAGGUAAUGGCUCACCAAGGCGACGAUCAGUAGCUGGUCUGAGAGGAUGAUCAGCCACAUUGGGACUGAGACACGGCCCAAACUCCUACGGGAGGCAGCAGUGGGGAAUCUUGCGCAAUGGGCGAAAGCCUGACGCAGCCAUGCCGCGUGAAUGAUGAAGGUCUUAGGAUUGUAAAAUUCUUUCACCGGGGACGUUAAUGACGGUACCCGGAGAAGAAGCCCCGGCUAACUUCGUG
Molecule: ribosomal RNA, 434 nt
Filed under: uncultured bacterium
Lineage: Bacteria
Description: partial 16S ribosomal RNA
Rfam family: Bacterial small subunit ribosomal RNA
Source: RNAcentral